GUUUCACUUCAGCAGCCCUUGUGGGGAGCACGACUGGGACAUUCUGGUAAUGGGAUUCAGCAGGAUCAGGCCUGGGGUGGGAGAGGAGCUCUGGCGAAGAUGCCCCUGACAGAACAUCACCUGUAGCAACACGGAAUGUCCGCACCAUCGAGAGGAGCCGCUUGGUGUCACUCCUCCAUCGUUAGAGCUGUGUGGAGCGGAGGAAACACCGGCACCGUGUUCGCGGUCGGUGUCUCCUGUGGCUGCAUUGCUGGAGGCAGCUACUGCACACCUGAGUUUGGAAUCGCCUUCAGCUCUGCUUCCCGUGGCUGCAGGAUGCAUUUCAGUGCCCAUCACCAUAUUAUCCAGGCGCCACCGUAAGAUUAAGGAGCUCUGCAGUGACAUUCUCAACGUGGUCUGUUCAAAGGUCAUUAGCAGAACCUUUCACACUGGAAAAGACUGGAGGAGAGCACGGAAGUGACCGCCAAGGAGAGGAAAAGGAGCAGGAGGCAGCAGGCUGGUGGAGCCAUUUUGGUUGUGCUCACACCGUGUGCUUUGCUCGGCUGAGCCAGAGCCCCGGGGACCUCGGGGCAGCUCCUUUGUGCUGCUGCAGGGCUUGUUGGACACUCCUGUCACCUCAGAGCGUUGGCCCACAUGGCCUCAAGAUUGCUGCCCCUGUGCCAUUGCCAUGCUGGGGCUUUAUGACUUCUGUAUCUUCCAGCCUCAGAGCAGGAUAUUCGUCUCACAAAUCCCAAGGAGAGAGCAAGCCCAGCAACUCGGGAACCACCUUCUCCAAGUGAAUAUAUUAGUUAAAGUUUCAUUUUCCUCAUUGUGUGCAAAUCCUCCCAACUGUUUGUGUUUGAAGAAGGCAAAAAAGGGUGUUUUGCUAUGUACACAAAGCUACACAGGACCCACAGAAUCAGGAGAGGUGAUUUUACCCCAGGGGGCCCUGUCCUGCUCCCCCUGAAACUGGUUGCUGCCAUGUCUCCAAGGACAGCCUGGGAACUCGUGUUCCAGAGAGGUGGCACUGCCUGGACCCUGCUGCUCCCGUUUCAAGCAGC
Chiroxiphia lanceolata (lance-tailed manakin) is the source of this 1040-nucleotide long non-coding RNA. RefSeq lists it as uncharacterized. The transcript has 4 exons. The record is from RefSeq and is a predicted model, not a curated record. NCBI's taxonomy places the organism in Eukaryota, Metazoa, Chordata, Aves, Passeriformes, Pipridae.